UGGGGAAUUUUGGACAAUGGGGGCAACCCUGAUCCAGCAAUGCCGCGUGUGUGAAGAAGGCCUUCGGGUUGUAAAGCACUUUUGUCCGGAAAGAAAACGUCGUGGUUAAUACCCGUGGCGGCUGACGGUACCGGAAGAAUAAGCACCGGCUAACUACGUGCCAGCAGCCGCGGUAAUACGUAGGGUGCAAGCGUUAAUCGGAAUUACUGGGCGUAAAGCGUGCGCAGGCGGUCCGCUAAGACAGAUGUGAAAUCCCCGGGCUUAACCUGGGAACUGCAUUUGUGACUGGCGGGCUAGAGUAUGGCAGAGGGGGGUAGAAUUCCACGUGUAGCAGUGAAAUGCGUAGAGAUGUGGAGGAAUACCGAUGGCGAAGGCAGCCCCCUGGGCCAAUACUGACGCUCAUGCACGAAAGCGUGGGGGAGCAAACAGGAUUCAGAUACCCUGGUAGUCCACGCCCUAAACGAUGUCAACUAGUUGUCGGGUCUUCAUUGACUUGGUAACGUAGCUAACGCGUGAAGUUGACCGCCUGGGAGUACGGUCGCAAGAUUAAAAACU
Molecule: ribosomal RNA, 555 nt
Filed under: uncultured bacterium
Lineage: Bacteria
Description: partial 16S ribosomal RNA
Rfam family: Bacterial small subunit ribosomal RNA
Source: RNAcentral